AAAUUGUCAUACAUCUAAAGCAACUAAAAUCCUUACAUGCAAAUGCCAUCAAAAGGACUUUUUCAAGGCUUGUAAUGAGGCUGGGCUAACAAGAAAAAUUGGUUUUUCUGAAUGCAAAAUCCUCGAGUUAAGAGAGCUUUCAUAAUAUUUAACAUUUAAACACAACUCUCCUCCUCAUCAACUUCACUUUUCCCAACUUCUUCCCUUUUCUUUUGCAUUAAGCUCUCUUUCAUGCUUUUUCUUCUUUUCUUUUCUUUUUCUCAUGUAUUUUUCUUUCACACCAUUUGAGCUCAAUGCUUUUUAAAUUGCCUUUCAGUUUCCCCCAUGCAAC
Molecule: long non-coding RNA, 331 nt
Filed under: Vigna radiata
Lineage: Eukaryota; Viridiplantae; Streptophyta; Magnoliopsida; Fabales; Fabaceae
Description: long non-coding RNA (VRAD_LNC006124)
Source: RNAcentral